Unclassified non-coding RNA from Mustela putorius furo (domestic ferret), 111 nucleotides. It matches the Rfam family "Y RNA". Rfam says of the family: Y RNAs are components of the Ro ribonucleoprotein particle (Ro RNP), in association with Ro60 and La proteins. The Y RNAs and Ro60 and La proteins are well conserved, but the function of the Ro RNP is not known. In humans the RNA component can be one of four small RNAs -- hY1, hY3, hY4 and hY5. Lineage: Eukaryota; Metazoa; Chordata; Mammalia; Carnivora; Mustelidae. The record is from Ensembl.
GGCUGGUCCAAAGCUAGUGAGUUAUCUCAGUUGACGGUUUAUAGCCAAAUUACAAAGUGAACUCCGUAUUCUACUCUUUCCUCCCUUUUCACUACUGCAUUUGACAAAAAA